UCUCCGUAGGUGAACCUGCGGAGGGAUCAUUACAGAGUUCAUGCCCUACCGGGUAGAUCUCCCACCCUAUGUUAUUAUUACUUUGUUGCUUUGGCCGGCCGUUAGGCUCCGGCCCGACUACCGGCCCCGGCUGGUAAGCGCCCUCCGGAGGACCCAAAACCCUGAAUAUUAGUGUCGUCUGAGUACUAUAUAAUAGUUAAAACUUUCAACAACGGAUCUCUUGGUUCUG
This 229-nucleotide unclassified non-coding RNA is filed under the name plant metagenome. Its description in RNAcentral is "partial contains small subunit ribosomal RNA, internal transcribed spacer 1, and 5.8S ribosomal RNA". The record is from RNAcentral.